GCUGCAGGUACAGUGCCAAUUGCAGUAUCAAUUUCAUUUUGUCAAAGAAGUACUCCAUCAGCGUCAAUUGCAGUGUUAAUUGGAGUAUUAAAAUUCUCAAUUGCAAUGCUGAUCUACUGCUGAUGUUAUCUGAAAUUUACAGUGUUUUGUGUCUGUCAAUCAUACUCCAUUCAGUGUCCUGUGUCAGAAAUUUGGUGAAGUGAAGAAAAUCAGGACUAAAUGUUGUCAUCGCCUCCUCUGUUGAUUUGAAGCACCAGCAGUACGGCAAGAAGAGUUGGCAAUUGAAGCAGCAGCGCCACGAAUUGAAGAAGCAGCAGCGCCACGAAUUGAAGAAGCAGCAGCAACACAUCAAUAGCAACAGCAGGCAAUUCUGGAGACAAGAGGGACAACAUAUCAGUUGAAAUAACAGCAGCAGAUCAACAGAAAUAGCAGCAGCUUGCCGGUGGCCCUACUGAAUACAGCAACGCAGAGAGCAUCAACCAAAAUGAACUUUAGUCCAUGAAAGUGCAGAGUUUAAGCUCUAUUCAGCAAAUGAAAACAGCAAUACAGACUAACUCUCUUGCUCUCUUGCUCGAUGGUCUCGACGAGUAAUUUAGAUUACAGAAUAAGAAUAAGAACAAGGGCUUGAGGAUGUUCCUAUGAAUUUUGAUGUGUCAUGUUUCUUUAAGGAAUGGCCAUGCAACAGAAGAACUGAGAGAGGGAGUA
Molecule: long non-coding RNA, 705 nt
Organism: Triticum dicoccoides
Lineage: Eukaryota; Viridiplantae; Streptophyta; Magnoliopsida; Poales; Poaceae
Exons: 2
Source: RefSeq, a predicted model, not a curated record